RNAcentral lists this ribosomal RNA (497 nucleotides) under Priestia megaterium. RNAcentral's name for it is "bacterial SSU rRNA". It matches the Rfam family "Bacterial small subunit ribosomal RNA", at positions 383 to 872 of the family's 1533-position model. Lineage: Bacteria; Bacillati; Bacillota; Bacilli; Caryophanales; Bacillaceae. The record is from RNAcentral.
CUGAGGAGCACGCCGCGUGAGUGAUGAAGGCUUUCGGUGUCGUAAAACUCUGUUGUUAGGGAAGAACAAGUACAGAGAGUAACUGGCUGUACCUUGACGGUACCUAACUAGAAAGCCACGGCUAACUACGUGCCAGCAGCCGCGGUAAUACGUAGGUGGCAAGCGUUAUCCGGAAUUAUUGGGCGUAAAGCGCGCGCAGGCGGUUUCUUAAGUCUGAUGUGAAAGCCCACGGCUCAACCGUGGAGGGUCAUUGGAAACUGGGGAACUUGAGUGCAGAAGAGAAAAGUGGAAUUCCACGUGUAGCGGUGAAAUGCGUAGAGAUGUGGAGGAACACCAGUGGCGAAGGCGGCUAUUUGGUCUGUAACUGACGCUGAGGCGCGAAAGCGUGGGGAGCAAACAGGAUUAGAUACCCUGGUAGUCCACGCCGUAAACGAUGAGUGCUAAGUGUUAGAGGGUUUCCGCCCUUUAGUGCUGCAGCUAACGCAUUAAGCAUCCGC